UUAGGUAUGGGAAGUAGGUACAUAAAAUAGUAAAUGAGUUUGUCUGUACUCAUACUCUUGUAUAGUUGUAUUCACUCUAAUCAUACCUGUCUGUUCUCAAUUAUUUAUUAAACGAAUAUAUAAGUGUAUAUUAUAUUUUUAAAAACAUACAAAGAAACCAAUAAUCGUAAUAAUGAUUGGAAUUAAGAAAACAUGGCUUUACGUUCUUUUCGUAAUGACAAUAAUACUUGUAUCUUCGACGUACGGUAUGAGUUUAUUAAAAACACCAUAUAAUAGGACAACGAAUAUGGUCUCCAAAUAUUCCAAUACUUUUCAACUCAAUGACACACCGACACCAAAUAUAUCAUCAUCCGUAUAACUAUUUACAAAAUAAUAUUAAGGUUUAAUAAAGUAUUCAUCAAUUUUCAAAUGGUUAUAAAAAAUUAUAAAUCAAUGAGCGUUCAAUAUAAAAUUUAAUUCAACACAACAAUAUUAAUGUUAUGUAAUUUAACUAUAAAAAAUAAUAAAUAAUCCAACAAUAAAAUUUAAUAAACAUUAUCAUGCAAUA
This is a long non-coding RNA of Aphis gossypii (cotton aphid), 547 nucleotides long. RefSeq lists it as uncharacterized. Lineage: Eukaryota; Metazoa; Arthropoda; Insecta; Hemiptera; Aphididae. The transcript has 5 exons. The record is from RefSeq and is a predicted model, not a curated record.